UCGAAGUUUUCCUGUUUACACUAAAGAGGAAUACAGGCCACUGGACUCUGAACAUGGAGACUCAAGAUGGCAAAGCCCAGACAUGGCUGCCAUUAUAUGCCAGAGUGGAUGGAGACUGAUCUCUGCAAAAGGUUGUAACAUCCGUUGAUGAUUUGUUUGGGGAAUUGAAGAAGAUUAAACCACAAGAGGAAACCGGACAUGGAUUCCAAACUGGACCAUUAUUUCUGCAGCUGAGUGGUAGCUUGUGUGAAGAGUCUACCCAGGAAGGGGAGAGACGUUGAAGUGACCUGGCUGAAAGGCCAAGUCACAGGAAGCAGCAGGCCAUGGCAGAGGUGGAGCAGCAACUGACAGGAUACCCCAGCAGACAGAGAGCUGCCAUGUCAUGCCUGGCCAUGAGGAGGUGCCACUGAGAAAGAACACGAAAAAAAGAAAUAUCACUUCUUGCAUCUUGGCAGUCCUGUGAUGAUGAUCCAGGAAAAUAUCAGAACUGUCCUAUUCAAUUCCACACAAGAUGGUUUGAAAAAAAAUCAAUAUCCAUUCCAAUUAGAGCUACAGUCUGAUUCUUGCAAAAUCGCAAAGAGCUUUUUACCAUCUUCGCCAAUGAUGACACUUAGCAAUGGCUGGUUGAAGCAGCAGCGCAGCCUCUGAUGGCACCUGGGGAAGAAGAGGCCUCCAUGUGAUUUUGAUAGUGAACCAUGUCUUCAUUAGUGUCGUCAGAAAAAUCUGUGACUUUUGUGUCUUCUGGCAGCAUGACUGGGGUGCUCCAGUGAUUUGAUAAUAAAGCAAACAUUGUCCUGAUAGAGUGAAAGUAAGCUGUGUGAAACAACUUCACUCCCACCAUCACUCACCAGUCAGUUCUUCUACAUGCUGUGUAGGUCGACAAAGUAAACAAACAACCACAUGGGCAUGUAUUAAAGUACAAAAGCCUAUGU
Molecule: long non-coding RNA, 932 nt
Organism: Mauremys reevesii (Reeves's turtle)
Lineage: Eukaryota; Metazoa; Chordata; Testudines; Geoemydidae
Exons: 4
Source: RefSeq, a predicted model, not a curated record